AGAUAAAGAGAUAUAAUCCAUCAUUGACUUGGACCCGCUCUGAUACCAUAUUAGAAAUGGGCCACUCACCCCUUAAAAGGCGAGGAGGGUUAUCCAUCCUUAUAUAGAAGAGAUAGGACAUCAUCAAGCCCUUAUAUAGAAGAGAUAGAACAUCAUCAAGCCGACGUGGGACAAGAUAAUAGAAUUUUAACAUAUGUGCUGUCAGCCUUGUCAAGAUUGGAUAGAUCGUGAAACUGUCGCUAUCGGGAUUGGCUCGGCGUAGCUGCCGCCCUCUUACUGCCGGUGUGCCGUCGCUGGAGCGCCAUGCCGGAAAUCCGGGAAGCAGCUCCCCCACAAGAGAAGCCCUCUAACCAUGAAUUGAAAGAAGAUCUUGUGGUUACUCGAAGAUGCAUUGGGCGAGCGUUUCAUUUGCAUGUCUCUUAAUUUACUUGUAAUAGAUUACUAUUCAAAUAUUCAAAAAUUAUUUUCUAUCGGACUUUUAUUUGUACA
This is a long non-coding RNA of Salvia hispanica, 489 nucleotides long. RefSeq lists it as uncharacterized. Lineage: Eukaryota; Viridiplantae; Streptophyta; Magnoliopsida; Lamiales; Lamiaceae. The record is from RefSeq and is a predicted model, not a curated record.